AUUGAACGCUGGCGGCAGGCCUAACACAUGCAAGUCGAACGAGUGGCGGACGGGUGAGUAAUGUCUGGGAAACUGCCUGAUGGAGGGGGAUAACUACUGGAACCGGUAGCUAUACCGCAUACCCUCUGAUUUGCCCAUAUGGGAUUAGCUCGUUGGUGGGGUAACGGCUCACCAAGGCGACGAUCCCUAGCUGGUCUGAGAGGAUGACCGGCCACACGGGAACGGAGACACGGUCCAGACUCCUACGGGAGGCAGCAGUGGGGAAUAUUCCACAAUGGGCGAAAGCCUGAUGCAGCCAUGCCGCGUGUAUGAAGAAGGCCUUCGGGUUGUAAAGUACUUUCAGCGGGGAGGCGUUACCCGAAGAAGAAGCAACGGCUAACUCCGUGCCAGCAGCCGCGGUAAUUC
Molecule: ribosomal RNA, 405 nt
Filed under: uncultured bacterium
Lineage: Bacteria
Description: partial 16S ribosomal RNA
Rfam family: Bacterial small subunit ribosomal RNA
Source: RNAcentral